This 547-nucleotide ribosomal RNA is filed under the name Aspidaspis arctostaphyli. RNAcentral describes it as "eukaryotic LSU rRNA". Lineage: Eukaryota; Metazoa; Arthropoda; Insecta; Hemiptera; Diaspididae. The record is from RNAcentral. RNAcentral also lists the same sequence under 1 other name.
AUCUGGGCGGCGGAAUUCAGGAUGGCCAUCGUGCUCUAGCGGUGCGUUGGUCGUUUGAUAUUUCCGUCGCCAACAAACCGCAGACGUCGCGACCUGUUCGCGGUCGGUCCCUGCUCGGAGGAGCCGCGUUCGAGCUCGUUGUGUGCGCGUUUCGGCGCGUCACACGGCGAAGGCGCGGAUCUCUGGCUGGCCGUCGGACAGUAUGCUUAGCGGUGUCCGGUGUCGUCGUCUCGUACGCGCGGCAUCGGUACCGGUCAGCGACGAAUUCUUCGGGCCUCUUUCCGACCCGUCUUGAAACACGGACCAAGGAGUCUAACAUGCGCGCGAGUCGCGGGGUAUCGAGCGUACUUCGGUGCGUUCGUUAUGUUGCGAAACCCGUACAUGUCGAAGGCGUAAUGAAAGUGAAUGGGGAAGAUGGUGUUCCGAGUUCACGUUCCGCGAUCGUCGGUAUCGCGGCCGGACACCCGCAUUCCCGGGGCGUCUCAACGGCCCGUCGCUGAUGCGGACAGUCGUCUUUCGGGGCGGCUGUCGGUCGGCGACGAACCGA